Molecule: small RNA, 74 nt
Filed under: Xanthomonas campestris pv. campestris
Lineage: Bacteria; Pseudomonadati; Pseudomonadota; Gammaproteobacteria; Lysobacterales; Lysobacteraceae
Description: sRNAXcc-15
Source: RNAcentral
GCAGUGCAACGCAUUCACGGACACUGCAUCAGGAGACGUCAUGAACAAGCUGCACAUGCUGGUAUUGGCUGGGG